CACUGGGUCCCUGGCGGCGAAAGCCGCCGAACCGUGUCAGGUCUGGAAAGAAGCAGCACUAAGGCGAUUCUUUCGGGCGCCCAGGACAACCUGGUGGUC
RNAcentral lists this signal recognition particle RNA (99 nucleotides) under Chloroflexota bacterium. Its description in RNAcentral is "signal recognition particle sRNA small type". It matches the Rfam family "Bacterial small signal recognition particle RNA". Rfam says of the family: The signal recognition particle (SRP) is a universally conserved ribonucleoprotein involved in the co-translational targeting of proteins to membranes. Archaeal SRP consists of a 7S RNA and homologues of the eukaryotic SRP19 and SRP54 proteins. Lineage: Bacteria; Bacillati; Chloroflexota. The record is from RNAcentral. RNAcentral also lists the same sequence under 2 other names.